GAUGAACGCUAGCGGGAGGCUUAACACAUGCAAGUCGAGGGGCAGCACGUCUUCGGAUGGUGGCGACCGGCGCACGGGUGCGUAACGCGUAUGCAACUUACCCUUAACAGGAGAAUAGCCCAGAGAAAUUUGGAUUAAUACUCCAUAGUAUUACGGAUUCGCAUGUUUCUGUAAUUAAAGUUCCAACGGUUAAGGAUAGGCAUGCGUGACAUUAGCUUGUUGGUGAGGUAACGGCUCACCAAGGCAACGAUGUCUAGGGGUUCUGAGAGGAUGACCCCCCACACUGGUACUGAGACACGGACCAGACUCCUACGGGAGGCAGCAGUGAGGAAUAUUGGACAAUGGAGGAAACUCUGAUCCAGCCAUCCCGCGUGCAGGAAGACGGCCCUAUGGGUUGUAAACUGCUUUUUAUACAGGAAUAAACCCCCUCUACGUGUAGAGGGUUUGAAGGUACUGUAAGAAUAAGCACCGGCUAACUCCGUGCCAGCAGCCGCGGUAAUGUCAGUG
Molecule: ribosomal RNA, 507 nt
Filed under: uncultured bacterium
Lineage: Bacteria
Description: bacterial SSU rRNA
Rfam family: Bacterial small subunit ribosomal RNA
Source: RNAcentral